RNAcentral lists this ribosomal RNA (775 nucleotides) under uncultured Neocallimastigales. RNAcentral's name for it is "partial large subunit ribosomal RNA". It matches the Rfam family "Eukaryotic large subunit ribosomal RNA", at positions 24 to 642 of the family's 3401-position model. Lineage: Eukaryota; Fungi; Neocallimastigomycota; Neocallimastigomycetes; Neocallimastigales. The record is from RNAcentral.
UAUCUCUGUAGAGUCUGCAUAUCAAUAAGCGGAGGAAAAGAAACUAACAAGGAUUCCCCUAGUAACGGCGAGUGAAGCGGGAAGAGCUCAAAUUUGAAAUCUUCAAGGUUUGACCUUGACGAAUUGUAGUUUAAAGAAGUGUUUUCGGUUAGAGGAGUAGUAAAAGUUCUUUGGAAUAGGACAUCAUAGGAGGGUGAGAAUCCCGUAUUUGACUAUUCUUUCUAGCUUUGUGAUACACUUUCAAAGAGUCGGAUUGUUUGGGAAUGCAGUCCAAAAUGGGUGGUAAAUUUCAUCUAAAGCUAAAUAUUGGCGAGAGACCGAUAGCGAACAAGUACCGUGAGGGAAAGAUGAAAAGAACUUUGAAAAGAGAGUUAAACAGUACGUGAAAUUGUCAAAAGGGAAGCGUUUGACACCAGUGUUGUUUUUCCGAAAAUCAAUUAAAAAUUGAUUCAUGCCAGGUUGUAUUGACCUUAUCAGCUUGCAAUUUGGUUUUGGGUCUCUUUUUGAUGCACUUUUCGGUUAACAAGUCAACAUCAAUUUCCUUUGCUGUAAAAAGGUAAGAGGAGGGUGGCUUCAAUUUCGGUUGAAGUGUUUAUAGCCUUUUAUCUCUGCAGUCGGGGAGAUUGAGGUCUGCAGCGUAGAUCCUUCGGGGCUAGAUACAUUUAUGCUAAGUUAUAGCUUUUCAUAGACAACUUGUUGACUAUGUUUAGUCAUGUAGCUUACUCGUAAGUGCUAUUUUACCUACGCUUAGGAUGUUGAAGACUCUACAGAGAUA